This 433-nucleotide ribosomal RNA is filed under the name uncultured bacterium. RNAcentral's name for it is "partial 16S ribosomal RNA". It matches the Rfam family "Bacterial small subunit ribosomal RNA", at positions 29 to 507 of the family's 1533-position model. The record is from RNAcentral.
AACGAACGCUGGCGGCAUGCCUAACACAUGCGAGUCGAUCGAGACCUUCGGGUCUAGUGGCGCACGGGUGCGUAACGCGUGGGAACCUGCCCUUAGGUUCGGAAUAACUCCCCGAAAGGGGUGCUAAUACCGGAUAAUGUCUUCGGACCAAAGAUUUAUCGCCUUUGGAUGGGCCCGCGUUGGAUUAGCUAGUUGGUAGGGUAAAAGCCUACCAAGGCGACGAUCCAUAGCUGGUCUGAGAGGAUGAUCAGCCACACUGGGACUGAGACACGGCCCAGACUCCUACGGGAGGCAGCAGUGGGGAAUAUUGGACAAUGGGCGAAAGCCUGAUCCAGCAAUGCCGCGUGAGUGAUGAAGGCCUUAGGGUUGUAAAGCUCUUUUACCCGGGAUGAUAAUGACAGUACCGGGAGAAUAAGCGCCGGCUAACUCCGUG